GUGGUCACUUUGGCAACAUACAUACCAACAUGGGAAUGAUACAGAAAAGACUGGCAGGGCCCCUACACAAGGAAAACAAAAAAAUAACUUUUUUUUUUCUUUUUUUU
Small nuclear RNA from Nomascus leucogenys (northern white-cheeked gibbon), 107 nucleotides. The record is from Rfam. NCBI's taxonomy places the organism in Eukaryota, Metazoa, Chordata, Mammalia, Primates, Hylobatidae.